AGAGUUUGAUCCUGGCUCAGGAUGAACGCUGGCGGCGUGCCUAAUACAUGCAAGUCGAGCGAACGGACGAGAAGCUUGCUUCUCUGAUGUUAGCGGCGGACGGGUGAGUAACACGUGGAUAACCUACCUAUAAGACUGGGAUAACUUCGGGAAACCGGAGCUAAUACCGGAUAAUAUUUUGAACCGCAUGGUUCAAAAGUGAAAGACGGUCUUGCUGUCACUUAUAGAUGGAUCCGCGCUGCAUUAGCUAGUUGGUAAGGUAACGGCUUACCAAGGCAACGAUGCAUAGCCGACCUGAGAGGGUGAUCGGCCACACUGGAACUGAGACACGGUCCAGACUCCUACGGGAGGCAGCAGUAGGGAAUCUUCCGCAAUGGGCGAAAGCCUGACGGAGCAACGCCGCGUGAGUGAUGAAGGUCUUCGGAUCGUAAAACUCUGUUAUUAGGGAAGAACAUAUGUGUAAGUAACUGUGCACAUCUUGACGGUACCUAAUCAGAAAGCCACGGCUAACUACGUGCCAGCAGCCGCGGUAAUACGUAGGUGGCAAGCGUUAUCCGGAAUUAUUGGGCGUAAAGCGCGCGUAGGCGGUUUUUUAAGUCUGAUGUGAAAGCCCACGGCUCAACCGUGGAGGGUCAUUGGAAACUGGGAAACUUGAGUGCAGAAGAGGAAAGUGGAAUUCCAUGUGUAGCGGUGAAAUGCGCAGAGAUAUGGAGGAACACCAGUGGCGAAGGCGACUUUCUGGUCUGUGACUGACGCUGAUGUGCGAAAGCGUGGGGAUCAAACAGGAUUAGAUACCCUGGUAGUCC
Molecule: ribosomal RNA, 806 nt
Filed under: uncultured bacterium
Lineage: Bacteria
Description: bacterial SSU rRNA
Rfam family: Bacterial small subunit ribosomal RNA
Source: RNAcentral